CUGCGGGUGGCAAAGCCGAAGUAGUCUAGGUCUACUGACGACCCAAGGCCAGAUAGUGUGGGCGGGAGGCCGUAGGAAGUGUGUGACUUUUCAGGGUUCAGGAAGCACAAUGCUGUGCAGUGCGAGAUCGGAAGCAAGACAGCAUUGCUACAGAUCCAUGUGCGGUACUUAGCUGUUUCCUUGCCUGCUUGUUUUCCAGGUUUGCUCCGGAUCCGAUAGUCGCCCAUGGAGCCCUUUCUCUCCAUGCAGGUACACGGUUUGUCUUGGACUCGUAGUGGAACAAGGUCUGGAAGAUGGACAUUCCAAGUGCCAAGUCGGGAUGGCAAAACAGCCAACGUGAAGGAGUUGGAGUCACUGCGGUACUCGGUUCUUCAGAACCAAAGAACACGACUUUCAAGCACCCGACUAGUGUCUUAGCUUUCCAGCCUGUAAGCAGGAGUCUACAAGGGACACGAUGAGAAGUGGUUCUUUUACAGCCUGGUGGCCAGCCUCUGGAACUCAUAGUACAUAAUGACCUGCAAGUGUCAUUAUCAGGCACUAGAAAACAGGGAACUCAUGUGACAGUAAGCUGGUACCCAUUGGAUUUCCGAAGAGGAGGCUAUAGCCGUCUUACAAAGGAAGAGUUCGGUGGACUGGUGACCCACAUCUGCCUGUAACUGCAGUUCUGGAGGAUCGGAUGCCCUCUUUGACCUCUGUGAGGACUUGGGCCCACGCACACACAAGCACAUAAAUAACUUUUACAAAGAAAAAGGGAGUCCCACACUCUGCUCUCUGCGUCUAAGACAUACAUUUUCUAAGGUCAAAUCAGUGCUUGUGGAAAUAAAUUCAUCUGAGUUGGAAAAUAGGUGGCACUUAUUGUACCGUAUGACUCAUACGGUACAAGGUAUCUUAAAAUUCCCUAAAUGCCAGCUGCAUGCACUUCUUGGUCUCACUAAUUACUGCCACAACUAAGCCCUCAACUUUUCUAUGCAGUCUCACCUUCUGCCAUCAAGCCAACUGCAUAGUUGAGAAGGACACAGUCUUAGUCACUGUUCUAUUGCUAUGAAGAGACACCAUGAU
Molecule: non-coding RNA, 1059 nt
Organism: Arvicanthis niloticus (Nile rat)
Lineage: Eukaryota; Metazoa; Chordata; Mammalia; Rodentia; Muridae
Source: RefSeq, a predicted model, not a curated record